This 238-nucleotide ribosomal RNA is filed under the name Staphylococcus aureus. Its description in RNAcentral is "partial 16S ribosomal RNA". It matches the Rfam family "Bacterial small subunit ribosomal RNA", at positions 196 to 429 of the family's 1533-position model. The record is from RNAcentral. Lineage: Bacteria; Bacillati; Bacillota; Bacilli; Caryophanales; Staphylococcaceae.
AAAAGUGAAAGACGGUCUUGCUGUCACUUAUAGAUGGAUCCGCGCUGCAUUAGCUAGUUGGUAAGGUAACGGCUUACCAAGGCAACGAUGCAUAGCCGACCUGAGAGGGUGAUCGGCCACACUGGAACUGAGACACGGUCCAGACUCCUACGGGAGGCAGCAGUAGGGAAUCUUCCGCAAUGGGCGAAAGCCUGACGGAGCAACGCCGCGUGAGUGAUGAAGGUCUUCGGAUCGUAAA